Molecule: long non-coding RNA, 1123 nt
Filed under: Junco hyemalis (dark-eyed junco)
Lineage: Eukaryota; Metazoa; Chordata; Aves; Passeriformes; Passerellidae
Description: lncRNA (ENSJHYG00000009133.1)
Source: RNAcentral
CCUCAUCUUAUUCACCAUCCUUUCCAUUCCAAAUCACUUGUCACAGCCAUCAGAGUCAUGCCUGGCAGGGCAUCAUUCACUUGCAGCUUUCAGCUUGUUCCCUCCAGAAGUUAAUGGUUUAACAUUUCUAAAAAAGCAAUGUUCCCAUAACAGUCCAUUGAGGGAGCUAAUAUAAUCCUGAGACACUUGGUAAAGUUACCUCUGAGAUCUGUUUUACAGACAAUAAUACAAAGGAAAAGUGCUGAACUCAUGGUGUACAAAAAAAAAUCCUAAAAAAAUCUUAUUCCCUUUCCUUUAUGCAAUAUUCACCAGGGCGCAAAUAUCCAGGGAGAAUCUUUUUCUAAAGCUUUAAAAUGUUACUGCAAAUUAAUGUGCACUGGCUAAUGCCCUUAAACAACUCAACUUCUCUGAAAACAUAGCUUAUAAAAAUACUUAUUCCUCUGUCAAGGAAAUAUUCACAAAACACAGCCUAUAAAAGGUCUUUAAUAUUAGAACUAUUUCUUUUAUCUCUAAUUAGACUACAAGGCAAUGUUCUGACCCUAGCUUGGAUUAAAUACUGUCUGAGAUAAGAGCAAUGAAGCAAUAAGUACAGUAGACAGACGAUACCACUGCUUACCUCAGGAGAAACAGAAAUAUUGAAGGUGGUAACAACGCAAUCUUUUAUUCUUUUUUAUUUUAUUAUAAUCUUCUUCACUACAGCUGAAUGUGGAAGACUCAUAUCCUCUCCAGACAGAAACCACUGGAUGUGGUGUUUGGCUUGGAAUCCUUGCCCAGAGAUUGCCAUCUCUUCUUUCAAGCUGCUCAAAAUACAGAAACAGUGAAAGCAAUUCUCCUGAGACUGAAUGUGUGCCAUGAAAGAAAGAGUGUAGGGGAAUGCAUGCAUCUAUGAUGACUGCUGCUGUCUUGGGUGAGAUGGGCAGAGCUGAAGUGAAAUGGGAAGAAGAAUUUAGAAGAAUUUUAAAAAGAAGCAGUGUACCUGGAAUACAAAUGCUUCACUGGAAUGCAUGAGCUGCACAAUCAGGAAUCCACAGCCCAAAGGACUGGUCAGGUUUAUAAGGGUACUAUUUGUACAUCAUGCAUCUCUCACAUGCUCUCUCAAAUAAAGAGAUUGCAACUGUAAUCA